GGAAAAGGAAGGCCCAGACAGGUAGGCAGGUUAACAAAGAGAGGAGUUUGCUGGAGAAAGCCUAACGAGCUUUUAGUUCUACCCUGCAGCUCUGGGAAGAGGGGAAAUGUUAAUUUUUAGUUCAACUGUGCAAGUCUGGGAGGGGUCAAUCUAUCACGGACCCCAGAGGCUUGAGAGAGACCUGGAAAAUCCAUUCCGCCCGCAUCUGCUGACCCGUUGCCCUGGAGAAGGUGGAGAAGACCGAGGGCGACGGCUCGUGGGCCCAAACGGGGCCUCCACCCUCGCUUCCCCUUCCGCCGGCCUCCAGGGCGUGCUCCGCUCCCAAGCCCGGAUCUCCUUCGCCCGGGUCGAGGCCGGAGGACGCGGGAAGCCACGGCCACAGGUUCCAGACCCCGCGCGUC
Molecule: long non-coding RNA, 401 nt
Organism: Mustela erminea (ermine)
Lineage: Eukaryota; Metazoa; Chordata; Mammalia; Carnivora; Mustelidae
Exons: 3
Source: RefSeq, a predicted model, not a curated record